CGGGGUGUAGCUCAGUCUGGUUUUAGAGCGCUUGGUUCGGGACCAAGAGGUCCUCGGUUCAAAUCCGAGCACCCCGA
This 77-nucleotide transfer RNA is filed under the name Candidatus Omnitrophota bacterium. RNAcentral's name for it is "tRNA-Pro". It matches the Rfam family "tRNA". From Rfam's summary of the family: Transfer RNA (tRNA) molecules are approximately 80 nucleotides in length. Their secondary structure includes four short double-helical elements and three loops (D, anti-codon, and T loops). The record is from RNAcentral. Lineage: Bacteria; Pseudomonadati; Candidatus Omnitrophota.